This 847-nucleotide unclassified non-coding RNA is filed under the name Hevea brasiliensis (rubber tree). Lineage: Eukaryota; Viridiplantae; Streptophyta; Magnoliopsida; Malpighiales; Euphorbiaceae. The record is from RNAcentral.
AUAUAGAUAAACAGCAGCAGCACAAGUUCAAAAUUCACCAAACAGAUUCACUAAAUCAGACUCAACAAACUAGAAAAGCAGUCUUCACCAACAAAAUUUCACAAAAGCAUAAAUGAGACGAAGAUUAGAGUGGCAGCUCUUUUACUAAAUAAAAUCAUGAUUUAGGCAGCACUAGUUGGCUUAGUGGCAGCAGAAAGCCUGGAUCGCUUUUUGGCCAAACUCUCGCUCCUGCGGUCCCUCUGCUCCUUAAGCCUGGUAGCAAGGAGCUUGUGGUACUCCACAGCUUCAGCUUUAGCCUUGACAGAUCUCCUCUUCUUCUCAGCAAUUCUCGAGCGCUUCCUCUGCAGUGUCAGGGGGGUCACCAGCCUCUGAAUCUUUGGUGCCUUACUGUUCUUCUUACCAGCUUUAGUGGUGAAAGUCCGGCGAUAGGUAUUGACAUACUUGCGCACAUCAUCUUCCUUGGUGAGGUUGAACAGCUUCCGGAUUUUGGAAGCCCUCUUCGGUCCCCUCAUUCUGGGCUUCUCAACAUCAGUAAGACCAGGAAGAUCAUUAUCACCUUUCUUGACAAUGACCAAGUUGAUGACUGACAGGUCAGGACUGACAAUGCACCCACGAACAGAUUUCCUCCUGCGCUCUCCAUUGCGCCUACCAAAUCCACGGAAACAAGGAGUUCCUCUGUGUAGCAGAAGUCUCACACGGCCAGGAGUAAGAACACCCUGCUUCAUUGGGAAGCCUUGCUUGUCACAUCCUCCCAUGAUUUUGAAAACAUAUCCCUUGAACUCCUCUCCUAGAGCAUCACCAUUGACUUCCUGGGAGAUACGCUUGUCAUAAAAAGCCCGAAGCUUCG